GAGUUGUAAUUUAGAGAAGUGUUACCCGCUCUCGGACCGUGUAUAAGUCUCCUGGAAUGGAGCGUCAUAGAGGGUGAGAAUCCCGUCUUUGACACGGACUACCAGGGCAUUGUGGUGCGCUCUCGAAGAGUCGCGUUGUUUGGGAAUGCAGCGCUAAAUGGGUGGUAAAUUCCAUCUAAAGCUAAAUAUUGGCGAGAGACCGAUAGCGAACAAGUACCGURAGGGAAAGAUGAAAAGAACUUUGGAAAGAGAGUUAAACAGUACGUGAAAUUGCUGAAAGGGAAACGCUUGAAGUCAGUCGCGUUGACCGGGGAUCAGCCUUGCUUUUGUGAGGUGUACUUCCUGGUUGACGGGUCAGCAUCAGUUUCGAUCACUGGAGAAAGGCUUGGGGAAUGUGGCACCUUCGGGUGUGUUAUAGCCUCUUGUCGUAUACAGUGGUUGGGACUGAGGUACUCAGCACGCCGCAAGGCCGGGUUUCGACCACGUUCGUGCUUAGGAUGCUGGCAAAAUGGCUUUAAUCGACCCGUCUUGAAACACGGACCAAGGAGUCUAACAUGCUUGCGAGUGUUUGGGUGGAAAACCCGAGCGCGUAAUGAAAGUGAAAGUUGGGAUCUCUGUCGUGGAGAGCACCGACGCCCGGACCAGAUGUUUACUGACG
Molecule: ribosomal RNA, 658 nt
Filed under: Marasmius dimorphus
Lineage: Eukaryota; Fungi; Basidiomycota; Agaricomycetes; Agaricales; Marasmiaceae
Description: partial large subunit ribosomal RNA
Rfam family: Eukaryotic large subunit ribosomal RNA
Source: RNAcentral